Heterocephalus glaber (naked mole-rat) is the source of this 157-nucleotide small nuclear RNA. Its record names the gene U2. It matches the Rfam family "U2 spliceosomal RNA". From Rfam's summary of the family: U2 is a small nuclear RNA (snRNA) component of the spliceosome (involved in pre-mRNA splicing). Complementary binding between U2 snRNA (in an area lying towards the 5' end but 3' to hairpin I) and the branchpoint sequence (BPS) of the intron results the bulging out of an unpaired adenosine, on the BPS, which initiates a nucleophilic attack at the intronic 5' splice site, thus starting the first of two transesterification reactions that mediate splicing. The record is from Ensembl. Lineage: Eukaryota; Metazoa; Chordata; Mammalia; Rodentia; Bathyergidae.
AUCGCUUCUUGGCCUUUUGGCUAAGAUCAAGUGUAGACAUAGAAAACUCCUUAACUUUAUAAUUGUAUCCAAUUAAAAUAUAUAUAUAUAAUUUUCUUAGUAACAUUUCCUGGGGUGGAGCAAUGAGUCUGGUGAGACACUAGAGGAGUUACUCAUC